AGGAAGAGGCGGGCUUUUCCGACCCCCACGCCCCUGGGAUGGUAAAGCUGCAGCCCACCUCGUCCUGGGGCAGAGUCUCCUUGCCUGCCUGCUUGCAUCGCUCACCAGCGUCCUAUCCUAACACCUCUGUUUCGUGCCCAUCACUUUGUCUCUCGCUGAAUUCCUUCUGCGUGGAGACAUAGAGAACCUCAACCUCAGUGAGUCCAGACGCAGGAGGAGAGCGUUUCCCAGACUCCUUGCCCCUGAGUGAGGAUACGUGCCUGGUUCUGGCCAAGGGGCUGUGGCUGAUACAGCAGGUGUCACUCUGAGUCAAAGCAAAGGAUGUGCAGACAUGAAGUCUCCACGCUCUCUCUUCUUCUCCCCUUGUCUCAAGGUGUCAGAGGCACCAGCUUAUGAGGGAUGUAUGAUUGUCAGCACCUCCACUUUACAGAAGAGGACACCUGGGUAUGAUGAUAAGCUGCCCAAGGUCCCAUAUCUGGUGCUUCAUAAUCCUGGCAAAGCCACUAAGCUGAGCAGAGCUGCAGAAAUUCCCUGGCUUUCCUGCUGGAAGAUGUCGAUCAAUGAGGGCGCUCGCGGCCUUUGAUGUCAGGCAUCCACGCCCGCUUCUGUAAAGACUCUCGGCUCCACAAGAGAACGGGAAGUCACUGUGAAGAAAGAGGCAGGCGAUGUAACCGGAAAAGCGCGGGUUUGAUGUCAAACAGACCUGCGUGGUUCCACCGCUUUCCGACUGUGUGACACCUCCCUCCCCCACCCCCGGCCCAGUUGCUCUCUGAACCCAAGUCUUGGAAAAUGGAACCAAUAAUACCUGUUCUUCAAGACUGUUCCUGCUGGAAGCUCCAAGAUUCAUCUGAAGGCGUGAUCACAUCCUCAAUGUUGAGUGGACUAUGAACCGGCUGCCAGAGACAGGGUUCCAAGCCGGGCCAGGCCCAUCCCAAUGCCCACCCGAAAAGACGGGACAGAGGAAAGAAAGAAACAAAAUCCUGGGGCUCCAUUGGCUUUCUUUUUGACUCCAGCUGAAGUUGCUGCAUAGUGUGGCCUUGCCAGUCCUCGCCUUGAAAAGGCUGGAAGCGACUGCCGUGAUGGAUCAUCUAAUCCCACAGCCUCAUUCUGCAGAGGACCCCGAGCCUCGACUUGGCCAAGGUCACACAGCUGGGCCACACCCAUGGCGUAUGGUUUUCACAUGGAAUCGGAGCUGCAGUUGCCGGCCUAUGCCACAGCCACAGCAAGGUAGGAUCUGAGCCAAGUCUUUGACCUACACCACAUCUCACGGCAAUUCCAGAUCCCUGGACCCACUGAGUGAGGCCAGGGAUUGAACACGCACCCUUAUGGAUACUAGUUGGAUCACAACGGAACUCCCUGAAAAAUCAAGGUCUUUAAAGCAAUUCAUCAACCCCACCAACAUCUUGGCAUAAGAAAAUUGAUUCUGUAAGUCAAAAGAACUUAUAACAUGGUAUAUUGGGAGGAUGGCAGGGCUUGGUAAGUGGUAGCAACGCAGCUGGUAGAUUUUUCUUUGUUGUGUCCUUGUCCUUACGCUCUUUUAGCCACAUUUUCAUUCAGGAUUCUUGGGUUGGAAGCAACAGAAAUGGACUCUUUUGGCCUUAAGCAAAAAGAAAAUUUGUUGAAAGGGCAUGGAGGAGUUCAUAGGAUUGACUAGAAGUUUGGAGAAGUAGGCUCAGGAGUCAAGGCAUUUAUAGAGGAGGGUAGGGUAGAGAGGUGAUAAAAAUAAUGCAACGGUCUUAUUUGGAAAUUGUACUGGAAUGUAAGAGUUUCAUCUUUCCUCCUCCCUCCCUCUCUCUCUCUUUCUGCCACUUCAUUCGAGAUUCCAAUUUCAGCGAAGGAGCAUCCAAUUGGCCUGUCUUGGUCAGAUUCCCACCACCCCCAUGGUUAGGGGAACACAGCAUAUUCGAAAUGGCAUUCCCACGAGGUACAUUCCAUGGAAAAGUAAUACCACAAAGAAAAUAUGGACACAGUUAUCAAAGGAAGAUAAAACAGGUGCUGGGUAGCCAACAAUAGCCUAUUUCCACUAUAUCCUUUAAAAAAAAUCCCAGUAACUCUUCUAUGAUUACUGAUUUUUCAGGAGAGAAAUUUAACGAUGGAAGAGUGUAUACAUAGUGAUGAAAAGAAUGGGAGGAUUUAUAAGAUACAAGUCAUUUUCUUUGAGUUGUGGGUCAAUGGUUGGGUCCAUUUUUCUUCUGUUGUUUUUUCCUAUAGAGCACAUUUAUAACCUUUUAAAAGUAAACUAUGUUUUCUACUUUAAGAUGAGUGAAAUGAGGGGGGAGUGUCCUUUUGACUGGGGACAUAGUCACUAGUUACUCUAUGUUAAUAACAGAAGCAUACAUUCCUCUCGAGGGGCAACAGUGUUCUUUUACAUUAAACUCUCAACAGAAACCAAAAGAACCACCACCAAAAAAAUCCCACCCAGUUUGGAAAGGACUUGUGCUUGUGGGUCGGGGGCAGAAGGAAGCAAUUUCCCUCCAUUUUCUGCCUGAGCAGGCCUUUUGCACUUUGAUAUUCGUUUCACUAAUAAGGUGUUUCAUUAUUUCUCCCACAAAAAGAGCUGGUGCUGUUAUGAGAUGCUGUUGAAGACUCUGGUUUGCCCAGAUGUGCCGCAGUGAAAACAGCCUUUCUCUGACGUGCAUGACUUGUGAGGAUGAUGGGACCUGUGGGAAGAGGGGAUCCUUUUUCAGAGUUUGGAAAGAGAGACAAAAUAACGCCAUCUGCCCUGCAUGGCUGACAGAAACACAUUCUUCCCUAAUCAGUGGGUCACUCACUUCCGCACUAUGUUGCAGGGAAGCAUCAUCUGAUUCCAAGCCUAAGGCUGGGUCAUCCGCGGCACUGACUUCUCCCGACCCUUCUCCGAGCUUCCUGUGCCAGUUUUCAUCAUCAAAUUUCUCUGCUCCCUUAGACCAGCGGAAAAGAAGUUAUGAGCUCUCUCCAUCAUUCGCCGGUCUCUUCGGCCCUUCCUCCUUUGAAGUUUUCUUAUUCGGGGUCUUUUUUCGCUUCUUCUCCAUGUUUCAUCCUCUCUCACUGUAACCUUUUUAUCUCUGGAGAGUUCUCUCUGUGCCUCUGGGCCCUUCUCUUUCUAGUUGGUUCUCAGAACCCAUUCUGGGAUUCUAUUUCAGUCCAUCCGUCUCUCCAACAGACCACGGGUGAAACCAGGGCCGGUAAUCAGUCCCAGCUGCUGGAGGCGUCCGCUCUGGGUCGGCCCCACGUUUGUGGGCUGAUGUUUUGCUUCCCAUAAUGCUCUGGGAGUACUGCUGCUCAGAGCUUGGCUUGUGCUUUUUCUUCUCCUGCCAAGGGGCCCUGCUUCCAAAACCCAGAUUAGAAAACAUGG
This 3334-nucleotide long non-coding RNA is filed under the name Sus scrofa (pig). Its description in RNAcentral is "lncRNA (ENSSSCG00000058312.1)". The record is from RNAcentral. Lineage: Eukaryota; Metazoa; Chordata; Mammalia; Artiodactyla; Suidae.